This 2929-nucleotide ribosomal RNA is filed under the name Bacillus cereus. RNAcentral describes it as "23S ribosomal RNA". It matches the Rfam family "Bacterial large subunit ribosomal RNA". The record is from RNAcentral. Lineage: Bacteria; Bacillati; Bacillota; Bacilli; Caryophanales; Bacillaceae.
UUUGGUUAAGUUAGAAAGGGCGCACGGUGGAUGCCUUGACACUAGGAGUCGAUGAAGGACGGGACUAACGCCGAUAUGCUUCGGGGAGCUGUAAGUAAGCUUUGAUCCGAAGAUUUCCGAAUGGGGAAACCCACCAUACGUAAUGGUAUGGUAUCCUUAUCUGAAUACAUAGGGUAAGGAAGACAGACCCAGGGAACUGAAACAUCUAAGUACCUGGAGGAAGAGAAAGCAAAUGCGAUUUCCUGAGUAGCGGCGAGCGAAACGGAACAUAGCCCAAACCAAGAGGCUUGCCUCUUGGGGUUGUAGGACAUUCUAUACGGAGUUACAAAGGAACGAGGUAGACGAAGCGACCUGGAAAGGUCCGUCGUAGAGGGUAACAACCCCGUAGUCGAAACUUCGUUCUCUCUUGAAUGUAUCCUGAGUACGGCGGAACACGUGAAAUUCCGUCGGAAUCUGGGAGGACCAUCUCCCAAGGCUAAAUACUCCCUAGUGAUCGAUAGUGAACCAGUACCGUGAGGGAAAGGUGAAAAGCACCCCGGAAGGGGAGUGAAAGAGAUCCUGAAACCGUGUGCCUACAAAUAGUCAGAGCCCGUUAACGGGUGAUGGCGUGCCUUUUGUAGAAUGAACCGGCGAGUUACGAUCCCGUGCGAGGUUAAGCUGAAGAGGCGGAGCCGCAGCGAAAGCGAGUCUGAAUAGGGCGUUUAGUACGUGGUCGUAGACCCGAAACCAGGUGAUCUACCCAUGUCCAGGGUGAAGUUCAGGUAACACUGAAUGGAGGCCCGAACCCACGCACGUUGAAAAGUGCGGGGAUGAGGUGUGGGUAGCGGAGAAAUUCCAAUCGAACCUGGAGAUAGCUGGUUCUCCCCGAAAUAGCUUUAGGGCUAGCCUUAAGUGUAAGAGUCUUGGAGGUAGAGCACUGAUUGGACUAGGGGUCCUCAUCGGAUUACCGAAUUCAGUCAAACUCCGAAUGCCAAUGACUUAUCCUUAGGAGUCAGACUGCGAGUGAUAAGAUCCGUAGUCAAAAGGGAAACAGCCCAGACCGCCAGCUAAGGUCCCAAAGUGUGUAUUAAGUGGAAAAGGAUGUGGAGUUGCUUAGACAACUAGGAUGUUGGCUUAGAAGCAGCCACCAUUUAAAGAGUGCGUAAUAGCUCACUAGUCGAGUGACUCUGCGCCGAAAAUGUACCGGGGCUAAAUACACCACCGAAGCUGCGGAUUGAUACCAAUGGUAUCAGUGGUAGGGGAGCGUUCUAAGGACAGUGAAGUCAGACCGUAAGGACUGGUGGAGUGCUUAGAAGUGAGAAUGCCGGUAUGAGUAGCGAAAGACGGGUGAGAAUCCCGUCCACCGAAUGCCUAAGGUUUCCUGAGGAAGGCUCGUCCGCUCAGGGUUAGUCAGGACCUAAGCCGAGGCCGACAGGCGUAGGCGAUGGACAACAGGUUGAUAUUCCUGUACCACCUCUUUAUCGUUUGAGCAAUGGAGGGACGCAGAAGGAUAGAAGAAGCGUGCGAUUGGUUGUGCACGUCCAAGCAGUUAGGCUGAUAAGUAGGCAAAUCCGCUUAUCACAUAGGCUGAGCUGUGAUGGGGAAGCUCCUUAUGGAGCGAAGUCUUUGAUUCCCCGCUGCCAAGAAAAGCUUCUAGCGAGAUAAAAGGUGCCUGUACCGCAAACCGACACAGGUAGGCGAGGAGAGAAUCCUAAGGUGUGCGAGAGAACUCUGGUUAAGGAACUCGGCAAAAUGACCCCGUAACUUCGGGAGAAGGGGUGCUUUCUUAACGGAAAGCCGCAGUGAAUAGGCCCAAGCGACUGUUUAGCAAAAACACAGCUCUCUGCGAAGCCGUAAGGCGAAGUAUAGGGGGUGACACCUGCCCGGUGCUGGAAGGUUAAGGAGAGGGGUUAGCGUAAGCGAAGCUCUGAACUGAAGCCCCAGUAAACGGCGGCCGUAACUAUAACGGUCCUAAGGUAGCGAAAUUCCUUGUCGGGUAAGUUCCGACCCGCACGAAAGGUGUAACGAUUUGGGCACUGUCUCAACCAGAGACUCGGUGAAAUUAUAGUACCUGUGAAGAUGCAGGUUACCCGCGACAGGACGGAAAGACCCCGUGGAGCUUUACUGUAGCCUGAUAUUGAAUUUUGGUACAGUUUGUACAGGAUAGGCGGGAGCCAUUGAAACCGGAGCGCUAGCUUCGGUGGAGGCGCUGGUGGGAUACCGCCCUGACUGUAUUGAAAUUCUAACCUACGGGUCUUAUCGACCCGGGAGACAGUGUCAGGUGGGCAGUUUGACUGGGGCGGUCGCCUCCUAAAGUGUAACGGAGGCGCCCAAAGGUUCCCUCAGAAUGGUUGGAAAUCAUUCGUAGAGUGCAAAGGCAUAAGGGAGCUUGACUGCGAGACCUACAAGUCGAGCAGGGACGAAAGUCGGGCUUAGUGAUCCGGUGGUUCCGCAUGGAAGGGCCAUCGCUCAACGGAUAAAAGCUACCCCGGGGAUAACAGGCUUAUCUCCCCCAAGAGUCCACAUCGACGGGGAGGUUUGGCACCUCGAUGUCGGCUCAUCGCAUCCUGGGGCUGUAGUCGGUCCCAAGGGUUGGGCUGUUCGCCCAUUAAAGCGGUACGCGAGCUGGGUUCAGAACGUCGUGAGACAGUUCGGUCCCUAUCCGUCGUGGGCGUAGGAAAUUUGAGAGGAGCUGUCCUUAGUACGAGAGGACCGGGAUGGACGCACCGCUGGUGUACCAGUUGUUCUGCCAAGGGCAUAGCUGGGUAGCUAUGUGCGGAAGGGAUAAGUGCUGAAAGCAUCUAAGCAUGAAGCCCCCCUCAAGAUGAGAUUUCCCAUAGCGUAAGCUAGUAAGAUCCCUGAAAGAUGAUCAGGUUGAUAGGUUCGAGGUGGAAGCAUGGUGACAUGUGGAGCUGACGAAUACUAAUAGAUCGAGGACUUAACCAUAUAA